GGAAUAUUGGACAAUGGGCGCAAGCCUGAUCCAGCCAUGCCGCGUGCAGGAUGACGGUCCUAUGGAUUGUAAACUGCUUUUAUACGAGAAGAAACACUGGUUCGUGAACCAGCUUGACGGUAUCGUAAGAAUAAGGAUCGGCUAACUCCGUGCCAGCAGCCGCGGUAAUACGGAGGAUCCAAGCGUUAUCCGGAAUCAUUGGGUUUAAAGGGUCCGUAGGCGGUCAGAUAAGUCAGUGGUGAAAGCCCAUCGCUCAACGGUGGAACGGCCAUUGAUACUGUCUGACUUGAAUUAUUAGGAAGUAACUAGAAUAUGUAGUGUAGCGGUGAAAUGCUUAGAGAUUACAUGGAAUACCAAUUGCGAAGGCAGGUUACUACUAAUAUAUUGACGCUGAUGGACGAAAGCGUGGGUAGCGAACAGGAUUAGAUACCCGAG
RNAcentral lists this ribosomal RNA (435 nucleotides) under uncultured Flavobacterium sp. RNAcentral's name for it is "bacterial SSU rRNA". It matches the Rfam family "Bacterial small subunit ribosomal RNA", at positions 358 to 790 of the family's 1533-position model. Lineage: Bacteria; Pseudomonadati; Bacteroidota; Flavobacteriia; Flavobacteriales; Flavobacteriaceae. The record is from RNAcentral.